CAAUUGUGAAUGGGAGUUCACUCAUGAUUUGGCUCUCUGUUUGUCUGUUGUUGGUGUAUAAGAAUGCUUGUGAUUUUUGCACAUUGAUUGUGUAUUCUGAGACUUUGCUGAAGUUGCUUAUCAGCUUAAGGAGAUUUUGGGCUGAGACAAUGGGCAGAACUAUUUUCAUGAUGAUACUUAAGGUACUGCUUUUUCAGCCCCAUGCUUUCACCAGUGUACAGUGAAGCUUUCCAGAAGCUACAUAAUAUAUGAUGAUGUCAUCACUCUGAAUAUAUGCUUAAAUAUUCUAAUGUUUUAAAAUUAUUUUUAGUUUUAAUUUCCAAUACUAUAGAUCUCAAUAGAUAUAACCCACAUAAAAUCUAAUGGGAUUCUCAAUGAUUUUGAAGAGUGGAAACCAUCCUGAGGCCAAAAAACUUUGAGAACUGCUGGGCUAAAUCACCUCUGUCUCAGUGGUACAUAACUGCUGGUACUGGGGUUAAAAUGCACACUUUUUUUGAAAUGAUGAUGAGAGUAGAUAUUAGAUACUUAAUUUUUUUAAAAAAUUCCUAAUUGGUAAGAUAAAAUAUUGUGAUCUUUUGUUCCUUCAUUAAAAAAUAGUUACACUGCCAAUCUAUAUAUAGACAGGCCCAUGAACUCUUCUUGUAACCUCCUAUUAUUCAGACAGGGAAAAACAUUGGUUUUUGAUAGAGAUUGUUAUCACCCAAAUGAGUGUCAGAUGGUGUUUUAUUUAACUGUCUCUUUGUGCCCUUGUAACUUUUAUAUGGAAAAUGUAUUUGAUUGGUAACCUAAUUAAUAAGAAGACACUUUAAUACUACCCUAAUGUCAAGUUCUACCUUGUUUUGUCUUUGUCUGGGCUUUCCAAAGUUUCUCACAAUUGAUUUUGAGUCACACUCUGAGACUAACGCCAAAAGUUCAGUCCUCAAACAUCAUUUUAAGGUAUCAGAAAUAAAAAUUGCUGGGUGCGGUGGCUCACAACUGUAACCUCAACAGUUUGAGAGGCUGAGACAGGAAGAUUGCUUGAGACCAGGAGUUUGAGACCAGCCUGGGCAACAUAGCAAGACCCUGUCUCUAAUAUAUAUAUAAAAUUAGCUGGGCAUGGUGGUGCAUGCCUGUAGUCCCAGAUACUCAGGAGGCUGAGGAUCACUUGAGCCCCAAAGGUCAAGGCUGCAGAGAGCUGUAAUCAUGCCACUGCACUCCCUUCUGGGCAACAGACUGAGACCCUGUCAAAAGAAAAGAGGAAGGAAAGAAGGAAGGAAGGAAAGAAGGAAGGAAAAAAGAAAAAGAAGAGAGAAAGAAAGAAAGAGAGAAGAAAUUUAAAAAAGGAAAGGAAAGGAAAACAAAGGAAAAGAGAAUUAAUAUAUGUGAACUUUUCCAGUAGUUGCUCAAAAAAUGACUGCUGCCAAACUCUGAGGGGAAAAUUCCCGACUCGAUCAAUAGCUCUCUUUGGAACACUAUGUCUUUGACAGAUUACUUCUGGUUAUAAGAUGAAAAUUUGAUUUUUAGUUUUGAAUAGGAAUUUUUAUGCUUAAUUAAAGAAAACUGCAACUCAAGAUUGUAUCAGUGAAUAUUUCCUUUCCCUAAUCAAUUAUAUGGUAAAAUAAGAUUAUCAUGUUCAUGUAAUCUAUAUAAAGUUCAUACCAUUAAAUGAUGGGUCAGCUAAUUAAUUAUUUCCAAAGCACUUUGGUAGUGCUGAAGAAUGCUUUUUUUUUUGUCCUCAUAGAGUCCUUCUUUAAUUUGAUUUCCAAUAUGUAGUGCUUUUCUCCAGAUUUUUAAAAGUACUUCUUUUUAUUCUUCCCCAUUACAUCAUCCUUUUUCCUCCUUGUUGGACUGAGUGACAAAGGGCCUUGAAUUCAUGAUGAAAGAAGAUGUAAUUGAGCCUAGUGAACUAACCACAGGAAAAUGAUUCUGAGAGACCUGUGUAUAGCCUGGGAAGUAGAACCUGUUCUUCUUGCUGUGAAAUUGACUUCAUUCUGGUAUUAGUUUCAAAGGUGUUCUCUUUAAUCAAGAAGAAAGUCUCUGUUUACUACUAGAACAUCUUUAACACCUCCCAAUAUUUGCAUAUGAUAGAAACCAGAAGAAGUAAAACCUCAGAUCACAAUUCUGUUAACAGCAAAGGCUUAAUCAUUGCCUUUUCAAUGUGUUUGGGUACAAUAAAAGACCCUUGCUUUUUACCAAUGUGUGACAGUGCAUCAACCUGAAAGAACAGGAAAAGCUGCUGCGAUGAGAAACUCGACAUCCAAGGAGUGGAAGUACUGGGUCAUCUGAUAAUCCUGUGUUUAACUUUUUGAGGAACCGCCAUACCGUUUUCCACAGCAUGUGCUCCUUUACUUGUAUGCGUGUAUUCCAUCUCUUCUAACAACACUCCAGCAAAAUAGGCCUACUGCAGGUUACAUUGAGUCUUCUUACUCAACUCCAUUUAUCCAGGAACUGGGCUCCUGACUCUUGAGAGAUGGAGAGAAGUGUGCUGGUGGGCCUGCAAAAGAAGAUAAGUGGGGGCAGAGGAAAUGGCCAUGGAAAAGCACAGAUAUCAUGAAGAGUUAGUGAGGGGAUGGGCUCCUCUGUGGACUAUGAAUAAAGUGUUUACAACACUCUAUGGCAAGUGGAACAAAUCAGACUGCUGAAAGUCAGUAAGGAGUCUCUUGGAAUCCCAUAUGAGACAGAGAUUGCCUCUCUUAAAGUUUAUCAGUUUUAUUUUUGAAUUGCUUUUAUCCAAAACUAGAAAGAAAACUCCUUUACCCUGUCAAAAAACCAACAGACAUGUCUGAACCCUACAAAAUUGCCCAAUCCAUACACAGAUACAUAGAAAUAUGAGGUUUUGAUAAUUUGGAAAAUCAUCCAAACCAUUGUUUAAAUUUUAAUACCUUACUUGUUUUCACUUAGCCUUUCCUGGAGGUUUCUAAGCUCUCCAAAAUUAAUAAAUAAGAGAAGUAACUUAGCCAUUUCUGUGAGUUGCUUAUGUUAGAAAGACAUCUCCAAACUAUAGUCUUUCAAGCACUCCUUUCCUUUGCAGAUGGCUAUUGAUAUAAAUAUUUCUCUAAUUCCCUGAGCGUUCAAAUGGGCUGGAGUUUCAUGUUAAAUCUGGACUUAAGAGAGAGUUCGGUCUCUCUGACUUCAUAUUAUGGUGACUUUUCCAUCUCUGCUCAUUUAUCAGGGAGAUAACUGUCUGUUGGAAUGGCUUUCUUGAUCCUUGAACUAUUAGUGGGAUAGACUCUUAUCUGAUGGCUUCAAGAAGGGCCUGGUUUGCUUGUGGUGGCCAAAAAGGCCUUAAUUGAUACUGCAAAUAGUUAAUUUAUGACCCCAGGUUAAACUGGAAACCUGAUUUCUUGACUAGCAUAUUUAAGAGCUAUUUCUUUUUUUUCUCUUUGUCAAUAGAUCAUAUUUAGUUAUGCUGAUCUGUUCUAUUCAUCCACUUUACCUUUGUGUAAUAAAGUCUUUGAAAGUAUUGCCUUUAUAUUUUCU
This 3459-nucleotide long non-coding RNA is filed under the name Homo sapiens (human). Its description in RNAcentral is "HSALNT0138546". Lineage: Eukaryota; Metazoa; Chordata; Mammalia; Primates; Hominidae. The record is from RNAcentral.